CCUACGGGUGGCAGCAGUGGGGGAUAUUGCACAAUGGGGGAAACCCUGAUGCAGCGACGCCGCGUGGAGGAAGAAGGUUUUCGGAUUGUAAACUCCUGUCGUUAGGGACGAUAAUGACGGUACCUAACAAGAAAGCACCGGCUAACUACGUGCCAGCAGCCGCGGUAAAACGUAGGGUGCAAGCGUUGUCCGGAAUUACUGGGUGUAAAGGGAGCGCAGGCGGACCGGCAAGUUGGAAGUGAAAACUAUGGGCUCAACCCAUAAAUUGCUUUCAAAACUGCUGGCCUUGAGUAGUGCAGAGGUAGGUGGAAUUCCCGGUGUAGCGGUGGAAUGCGUAGAUAUCGGGAGGAACACCAGUGGCGAAGGCGACCUACUGGGCACCAACUGACGCUGAGGCUCGAAAGCAUGGGUAGCAAACAGGAUUAGAUACCCUGGUAGUC
RNAcentral lists this ribosomal RNA (440 nucleotides) under Clostridioides sp. ZZV14-6387. RNAcentral describes it as "bacterial SSU rRNA". It matches the Rfam family "Bacterial small subunit ribosomal RNA", at positions 338 to 795 of the family's 1533-position model. Lineage: Bacteria; Bacillati; Bacillota; Clostridia; Peptostreptococcales; Peptostreptococcaceae. The record is from RNAcentral.